Molecule: ribosomal RNA, 443 nt
Filed under: Astrogorgia fruticosa
Lineage: Eukaryota; Metazoa; Cnidaria; Anthozoa; Malacalcyonacea; Astrogorgiidae
Description: partial large subunit ribosomal RNA
Source: RNAcentral
UACGUGAAACCGUUGAAAGGGAAGCGAAUGGAGUUAGCAAUUCGCCCUGCCAGAUUCAGUUGCUCGUGCCUCGCGACGUGCGCGCUCUCGAUCCGCAUGGACGAGACGUGCGCGGGCGCGGCGUGCGGUCGGCGCACUUCUGGCGAGCGAGCGUCAGCGUCGGUUGCCGGCGGGCGACAAGGACACGAGGAAGGUGGACCGGCCUUUACGGUCGGUUGUUAAGCCUCGUGCUCGCAUAGCCCGACGGCGACCGUGGCCCUGCGACGCGUGCCUGGCUGGUGACUCGUACGAUCGGUCUGGCAUAACGACCGUGGCGGACGGCACGCCUGUGCGCUCGAACCGCUGCCGGUCGAUCGAACGAUGUUCGCACACUACGCGUCGAGGAUGCUGACGGCCAUACGGCUCCAUCCGACCCGUCUUGAAACACGGACCAAGGAGUCUAA